This is a long non-coding RNA of Humulus lupulus (European hop), 956 nucleotides long. RefSeq lists it as uncharacterized. The transcript has 4 exons. The record is from RefSeq and is a predicted model, not a curated record. Lineage: Eukaryota; Viridiplantae; Streptophyta; Magnoliopsida; Rosales; Cannabaceae.
UUGUUAAUAUAUGCGAAAAGCCUUCUCUUUCUCUGCCCUGAACCAAAAGGAAAGUGGAAGAUCCUUCUCUACAAGAUUUUCCAUGGGUAGUAACCUUUUUUAUCUUAUGAUCACCCCCUUCUUAUUGUUCCUUACAACUACCCAUGCAAAUUCAACUCAUCAUUGUUCACCUUCUUCUUGUGAUAAUAUCAUCAACAUAACUACUCCUUUCCGACUUAAUACUGAUCCAAUUCACUGUGGCGACUUUAAUUAUGAGCUUUCUUGCGAGAACAAUCAUACGGUAUCAUACUUAAACUCUGUCAAGUACUUUGUGCGGUCAAUCAAUUAUGCCAAUCACACCAUUCGAGUUGUGAACUCCAAUCUUCACAACAACAGUUGCUCCAUUCUUCACAACAACAGUUGCUCCACCCUUCCAUCUCCACCAAAAAUCCCGUUGAGAAAUUUGAAGUCUUACACGUACACAAAGAAUAUAGCUAGUAAUCCUGAAAUGUGAGAAUCCUGUUAAUUCCUCUUAUUAUAUAGACACCGCUCCUAGCGAAGUUGGUGCUUCUUAUCAUUACUAUGUGGUCGAUGGUGGCUUUAACGUUUCUGAUUUGGCGAGCGGGUGCCGCACGGAGCUAAGGACCUUCGUAUCGAAUCAGACAGUGGUGAAUGGAAGGUAUACUUCUUAUGUGGACAUUCACAACCAGCUUGCUUAUGGCUUUGAGCUUUCAUGGUUGGACUUCAAACAAGAAGAUGAAGUCUGCUACAUCAAUUAUUCCAACUACAUGCAAUGUGAUCGUGAUUCGUCGACUGCUAAUGAAGCUGAAUAUACAUCUAAUGAAGCUGAAUAUACAUCAUGGAUUAUUUUCCGUUACAUCAUAACCUAUAUAAGCUAUGCGCUUGAUUUCUUGGACAGAAAAGCUUCAUGCCACAUCGAUUAUUCCAACAAGAUUAUAUGUCGUUUUGGUAAGCUC